Molecule: ribosomal RNA, 270 nt
Filed under: Oenococcus oeni
Lineage: Bacteria; Bacillati; Bacillota; Bacilli; Lactobacillales; Lactobacillaceae
Description: partial 23S ribosomal RNA
Rfam family: Bacterial large subunit ribosomal RNA
Source: RNAcentral
CGGCGGCCGUAACUAUAACGGUCCUAAGGUAGCGAAAUUCCUUGUCGGGUAAGUUCCGACCCGCAUGAAAGGCGUAAUGAUUUGGGCGCUGUCUCAACAAUAGACUCGGUGAAAUUUAAAUUCCAGUGAAGAUGCUGGGUACCCGCGACAGGACGGAAAGACCCCGUGGAGCUUUACUGUAGUUUGAUAUUGAAUGUUUGUGCUGCAUGUGCAGGAUAGGUAGGAGACUUUGAAGUCGGAACGCUAGUUUCGAUUGAGUCACCCUUGAGA